GACGUAGGGCGCGAGCGUUGUCCGGAUUUAUUGGGCGUAAAGAGCUCGUAGGCGGCUCGUUGCGUCGGCUGUGAAAACCCGCAGCUCAACUGUGGGCUUGCAGCCGAUACGGGCGGGCUGGAGUUCGGUAGGGGAGACUGGAAUUCCUGGUGUAGCGGUGAAAUGCGCAGAUAUCAGGAGGAACACCGGUGGCGAAGGCGGUUCUCUGGGCAUUACCUGACGCUGAGGAGCGAAAGCAUGGGGAGCGAACAGG
This 253-nucleotide ribosomal RNA is filed under the name uncultured bacterium. Its description in RNAcentral is "partial 16S ribosomal RNA". It matches the Rfam family "Bacterial small subunit ribosomal RNA", at positions 524 to 776 of the family's 1533-position model. The record is from RNAcentral.